ACGCGACCCCUGGUCAGGCGGGGCUACCCGCUGAGUUU
This 38-nucleotide ribosomal RNA is filed under the name Ficus grossularioides. Its description in RNAcentral is "partial 26S ribosomal RNA". RNAcentral also lists the same sequence under 1 other name. Lineage: Eukaryota; Viridiplantae; Streptophyta; Magnoliopsida; Rosales; Moraceae. The record is from RNAcentral.